RNAcentral lists this ribosomal RNA (478 nucleotides) under uncultured bacterium. Its description in RNAcentral is "bacterial SSU rRNA". It matches the Rfam family "Bacterial small subunit ribosomal RNA", at positions 37 to 507 of the family's 1533-position model. The record is from RNAcentral.
UGGCGGCAGGCCUAACACAUGCAAGUCGAGCGGUAACAUUUCUAGCUUGCUAGAAGAUGACGAGCGGCGACGGGUGAGUAACGCGUAGAAAUCUACCUAGUAGUGGGGGAUAGCCCAGAGAAAUUUGGAUUAAUACCGCAUACGCCCUACGGGGGAAAGCGGGGGAUCUUCGGACCUCGUGCUAUUAGAUGAGUCUGCGUCGGAUUAGCUUGUUGGUGAGGUAAUGGCUCACCAAGGCGACGAUCCGUAGCUGGUCUGAGAGGAUGACCAGCCACACUGGAACUGAGACACGGUCCAGACUCCUACGGGAGGCAGCAGUGGGGAAUAUUGCACAAUGGGCGCAAGCCUGAUGCAGCCAUGCCGCGUGUGUGAAGAAGGCCUUAGGGUUGUAAAGCACUUUCAGCAGUGAGGAAAGGGGUGUCGUUAAUAGCGCCAUCCUGUGACGUUAACUGCAGAAGAAGGACCGGCUAACUCCGUG